ACGGAGGUGUUAACGGGAGUUGAA
RNAcentral lists this non-coding RNA (24 nucleotides) under Arabidopsis thaliana (thale cress). Lineage: Eukaryota; Viridiplantae; Streptophyta; Magnoliopsida; Brassicales; Brassicaceae. The record is from RNAcentral.